Molecule: long non-coding RNA, 1222 nt
Filed under: Mytilus galloprovincialis (Mediterranean mussel)
Lineage: Eukaryota; Metazoa; Mollusca; Bivalvia; Mytilida; Mytilidae
Source: RNAcentral
CUCAGAACUAAGUUUUCUUUCUUUUAAACAAACCAGAAUUUAAUAGUAUGUAUCAAGAGAUAUAAAAAAAAAUACUUUGAUAUUUAUAAACAAAAAUAUUAACUUAAGAUAUUGAUACUUCAUUUUGCAUAUACCUUUGUAAUGAAAUAUGAAUUGUCAAUUAAAUUUAAAAAAAAAAGACAAUUUUUUUAUAAUAAUACAUGAUUUCUAGUACAUGUAUUUUUACUUUUAUAUGAAAUCAAAUAUUUGUGUAAAAAUCCUUGAUACAUAAUAUUAAAUAAAGAAUGGUUAAUGCUAAGACUGAUAAACAUUUUAUUUUGUGUAAAUAGUUAAAAUUGUAUAUAUUAAUUUGAUGUAAAUUGCAGGGUUCUUAAUAUAUAUUUUUAAUGAAAGUGCAAUAGUCAUAUUUUACAGCGUGAUCACAAGAAAAUUGACAUUUCAAGUAGGAAGAUUAUCAGAUAGAAUAUAAAACAUUUUAAAAAGAAAUGAUACACGAUAGGAUAAGCAGGCAAGGGAAAAGAAAAUGGAAUUUAUUUAUGAUAGAAUAAAAUAGUUGUACAAGUUGUGAACAUAAUUGAAUCUUUCUGAAAGUUUUAGAUGGAAAUUUGAUCAUUAAAUUUUAGGUUUUUAAGUAAAUUCAUAAAUUUUAUAUAAAAAAUAAUAAUAACAAUAAAGCGCUGUAAUAUAUUCAGAAUUAUUAUAAGAAUAGGGCUAUAUUUAAAACAAAUUAUAUAUAUCAUUUUUUAUAAGGGCUUAAAGGAUUUUUUGGGGGGCUAUGAAAAAUUUUGAAAAAAUUGAUAUAAAGAUACGUGUUACUGUACCUAGGAGAAGAACUGCUUUUUGUAACAAGAACUUAUGCCUGUAUAUUCGAAGUUCAGUGAAAGAACAACAACAUUUCCUGAAAGAAAUUGAAGUUCAGGAAAAGAAAAUGACAAUUUUAGCUACAAGCAGAGUGAAGAAAUGUGAAUUUUCUGUCAUCAUGUACGUGAACACUGCAGUCUACUUCACCAUGAUAAUAAUAUCAGUCUCAGGAUCAACCAUACCAGUCACCAAUAGAGCUUCUUCCUUCCACCUUUUAGGACCCUCUUUAGGGUCCGCCAAAUUACUCAAAAAGAGUCUAAAAUUGUUGUACAUCAGAGUCAUCAGUAUUUGUUGUUGAAUUUUUUCUGCCAAACAAACAGUUCUUUCUAAGUGUUGAGCUUCAAUGAGAGUUGUAAUAGGG